Long non-coding RNA from Tachysurus vachellii, 640 nucleotides. RefSeq lists it as uncharacterized. The transcript has 3 exons. The record is from RefSeq and is a predicted model, not a curated record. NCBI's taxonomy places the organism in Eukaryota, Metazoa, Chordata, Actinopteri, Siluriformes, Bagridae.
ACUGGCAGUAGAAUGUGAGCACGUUCGUCUGAUUUCCUCGUAUAAACAGGACAGGGCAGUGAAGUCCAAAGCUCAGUGUAUCCAGCCAAGCCAUAUAGAGAGAACUGGGACAAUCGCUUUGAGGGACAGAUCAUCAAACUGACAUUUUUUGUGAAAGAACCCACAAAGUCAACAAGAGCCGGACGCAAGUUUGGAGGACCAGUCAAAACCAAACACUGAGGUCUAAAGGGGAAACGAAAGUAGCAAGAGAGGCUGAGUAGGACAGAGCCAUGUUGUAGGCACCAGCCUGGACAGACGAGCCCCAGUUAACCUCUAGAAGAAAUAUGUGACUAUUACAUGUCUAUCUCUUUAAUGUGUUUUUAAGUUAUUAAGAAUAUUGCAUUGAUUUAGACCUUAUUAGGACUGUCAUAAGUUGCUCACUUGGUUUCUUGUACAUAACAUAACCUAAUAAAAAGAAGAUGAUGCCGAAGGUGAUAAGAGCAGCCCACCAGGUAAGCAGGAACAUCAGCACCACAGAGAUAACUGCUCCAAACAGAGCUGUCCAGAGACUGUAAUAUUUAAAAGAUGGCCUCCACCCUGUGAGUGAGAAUAUCAAUAGUUUUGUAGUGAGACAUUGCAUAACAAAACACAAAGAAAUACA